Equus caballus (horse) is the source of this 1634-nucleotide long non-coding RNA. Lineage: Eukaryota; Metazoa; Chordata; Mammalia; Perissodactyla; Equidae. The record is from Ensembl.
GUUGUUUAGUCAAGGAUUCGUGAAGCUUUCUCAAAUGUUCACAGCACAGUAGGGUACACAGCAGAUGCCAGCAUCCAUCUUCAUUUACUGAUGAGACUGAACUCUAAGGGGUCAGAGAAUGUCUGAGAUCACAAAGGCAGUAAGCACGCAGCUGGCCAGGUCAUUGGGUUCCUGGCCAGUGCUCUUUCUACCAUCAUGCAUUAUUGCAUGCUGCCCUUUCACUCACGUGGGCACCAGGAGACCUUUUUCUGACCAUACAGAUCUGUGAGUUCCAUCAGAGCCUCCCCAAAGCUAAGUGUUUGUAGGUGUCAUUAUUAUAUCACGGUCAGUUAGGGAGCUCUUCAAAAUAUGAUGCUUACCAUAAAGUCAUUUACUUGCAGAUGUCUCCUUCUAUGACCAAAAGUUUCAGUGCUCUGAGGAGCAUUCUAGCUUUGAAAUACUUUAUUGAACCAGCUUCUAUCAACAUUAUGAAGAUCACCCAAAGUUCCAUUCUUGCAACAAAGGUGACCAGAUAUUACUCCAAGGGACAAUAAUGGAGAACUCCACGGCCAAAAUGCUUAGAAGGAAAUCAAGCGAAUCCAGAAGAGAAUAAAGAGAGUGUAAAAGGAAAACUGAGAAUACAAAGAUUUUCCAGACCCUUCUAAAAACCUUGAAAAACCACAGUGCUUUGCAAAAUAUCACAUUCAAUUGUCAGUUAAAAAAAAUUCUGUUAGAAGUGCCCUCAGUGCACCAAAGGGUGGGGAGGAGCCGCUGACUGGCCUCCAGAGCUGCACCCAGGGGUGGGGAUUAGGGCCAGGGCCUUGAGGCACAGUCCUUUCUGAUAUGGUGGAAAGGUGUUAAGAGAAUUUUUUUUUUUUGUCUCCCCAAAGCCCCAGUACGUAGUCGUAUAUUCUAGUUGUAAGUGCUUCUAGUUCUUCUGUGUGAGCCACCAACACAUCGUGGCUCCUGAUGGAUGAGUGGAGUAGUUCCACGACCAGGAACUGAACCUGGGCUGCCGAACUUUGAUCACUAGGCCAUCAGGGCUGGCUCAAGAGAAUCUUUUUUAUCAUUAACCUUUCUCACCUUUCUUGAGGCACCAGGAGACCAUCUGGGGUGCUGAGUUAGGUUUGGUUAGUUGGGUCAGCUUUCCCUCAGAGGCCGAGCCUCUGCUCAGUGUCAAGGAAUGACAUGAAGAUGCUAAUUGAGAAGCAAAGGGAAGAAAGAGCCCCCAUUAGGCAAGGCUACGUACCCUGGGAUCCCCGAGGAGCCUCCCAACAUGGAGCAGACUGAAUCCACAUCGUGCCUGUUAUCUGGGUGCUCACCUGUGAUCUCAAUUAGAACAAAAUCGAGAAUAGCUGUGAACUGUUUACAGCAUAACAUGAGAAUAUGGCAUCACAUUUAAAAUUUGAAAACACCAUUUUAGUAGGUUUUAACUAUAGUUCUCUCUGUUCUUUUCCAAAAGCACGGGUCUUGUCAAGAUCUUGUAUUGCAUGAAGAAGGUGUUAGGUACUACCUUUAGAUAGAAUUUAGUAUUUUUCAAAUUGCAAAUUGCAACCCUUUAGAGAUGGAUAAAAUCAACUUGGUAAGUUGCCGACAGCAUUUAAAAAGAAGAACUCGACUCCAACGGCAGGUCUGGUUUCAAGCUUUGCAGCGGG